UACGUAGGGUGCGAGCGUUGUCCGGAAUUAUUGGGCGUAAAGAGCUCGUAGGCGGUGUGUCGCGUCGGUCGUGAAAACUUGGGGCUUAACCCUGAGCUUGCGGUCGAUACGGGCAUCACUGGAGUUCGGCAGGGGAGACUGGAAUUCCUGGUGUAGCGGUGAAAUGCGCAGAUAUCAGGAGGAACACCGGUGGCGAGGGCGGCUGCCUGGCCCAAUACUGACACUCAGGUGCGACAGCGUGGGGAGCAAACAGG
Molecule: ribosomal RNA, 254 nt
Filed under: uncultured bacterium
Lineage: Bacteria
Description: partial 16S ribosomal RNA
Rfam family: Bacterial small subunit ribosomal RNA
Source: RNAcentral